Molecule: non-coding RNA, 521 nt
Organism: Danio rerio (zebrafish)
Lineage: Eukaryota; Metazoa; Chordata; Actinopteri; Cypriniformes; Danionidae
Source: RefSeq, a predicted model, not a curated record
CACUAGAGGGCAUCAGCUCUUUUAGUCUGAACACCUUUGACAACAGCGACACCAGAUCAGCACAGGUACACCGUUUUACUGGCGUCAAGUUGAGCUCCAGUAGCAGAUGACAGCUCAGUGACAGACUCAUAAUGUCAGUCAACAGCAGAUAUUACAGCCCGACAGUGAAGAAAAGCCACACCAAGUGCAGAAAUAGAGAGUAACGCGACUCACCUCAGUGAAGAUACACACGUGUGUCUGUUGUGUUUCUGCUGCAGAUCUUUGAGCUGCGCUCAACAGCUGACGCUCCUCCACACGCUCCUCCACAUCCAGGCGGAUUCACAGCUCCAGGAAAGCUCACACACAGGUCAGCAGUCCAACAUCAGUUCCAGCAAGUGUUCAGACAUGGAGAUCUGUGGCUCUGUGGUAAGAGCGCUGCCCCACGGCUUCAGGGGUUGCUGGUUCAAGGCCAGCCAGAACUCUGCGAUAUGAGUGAAUGGUGAGUGAGUGUGAGGCGCGCCUGAAGAAGGGGGGAUACCAGU